RNAcentral lists this unclassified non-coding RNA (320 nucleotides) under plant metagenome. RNAcentral's name for it is "partial contains 5.8S ribosomal RNA, internal transcribed spacer 2, and large subunit ribosomal RNA". The stretch from base 1 to 105 matches the Rfam family "5.8S ribosomal RNA", at positions 50 to 154 of the family's 154-position model. The record is from RNAcentral.
GAAAUGCGAUAAGUAAUGUGAAUUGCAGAAUUCAGUGAAUCAUCGAAUCUUUGAACGCACAUUGCGCCCGCCAGUAUUCUGGCGGGCAUGCCUGUUCGAGCGUCAUUACAACCCUCAGGCCCCCGGGCCUGGCGUUGGGGAUCGGCGGAAGCCCCCUGCGGGCACAACGCCGUCCCCCAAAUACAGUGGCGGUCCCGCCGCAGCUUCCAUCGCGUAGUAGCUAACACCUCGCAACUGGAGAGCGGCGCGGCCACGCCGUAAAACACCCAACUUCUGAAUGUUGACCUCGAAUCAGGUAGGAAUACCCGCUGAACUUAAGC